GAGGAAUAUUGGUCAAUGGGGGCAACCCUGAACCAGCCAAGUCGCGUGAAGGAUGAAGGUCUUAUGGAUUGUAAACUUCUUUUACACGGGAAUAAAGUGGGGGACGUGUCCCCCUUUGCAUGUACCGUGUGAAUAAGGAUCGGCUAACUCCGUGCCAGCAGCCGCGGUAAUACGGAGGAUCCGAGCGUUAUCCGGAUUUAUUGGGUUUAAAGGGUGCGCAGGCGGGAUGUUAAGUCGGCGGUGAAAUUUUGCAGCUCAACUGUAAAAGUGCCUUGGAUACUGGCCGCCUUGAGUGUGGAUGAAGUAGGCGGAAUUUGGGGUGUAGCGGUGAAAUGCUUAGAUAUCACGAGGAACUCCGAUUGCGCAGGCAGCUUACUAAGCCACAACUGACGCUCAUGCACGAAGGCGUGGGGAUCAAACA
This 421-nucleotide ribosomal RNA is filed under the name uncultured bacterium. Its description in RNAcentral is "bacterial SSU rRNA". It matches the Rfam family "Bacterial small subunit ribosomal RNA", at positions 356 to 774 of the family's 1533-position model. The record is from RNAcentral.